ACCCCUACCCCCAACCCCUUCUCUCUCUUCCUCUUUUAUGCUAAACCCUAGCCGACGCCUAUAUUCUCCCUCUCUCUCACAUCUAAAAACGGUAAAAAUGCAGAGAGCCUAGAAAAUGCACAGUUUUUGCAUAAUCAUUUUUAUGAAACAAUCAAUUUCUUCAAGUUUUAUUUUCACUCGAAUUUCUCCCAAACGCGGUAAUCACCCUUUUCUUUUACUUUUCUUUUGAAUUACUUAGUCAAAAAGUUGAUCUUUUCUAUUUUAUUUGUAGUACUAGGUUCGUAUUUACUCAAACCUCAUUGGUUGAAGGUGAAUAGGUCGGAUUGACUUCAACAGGACUCAGAUCUGACCAUUCAUUAAUGGUUUGAGUCAAUCUAGGCCGUAAAUAACAUUUGCAAGGGUUAAUUUCAGGAAAAGUAGUUUGUCCCACAUGGUUGGUUUGUUUCUUUGUAUGAAUUUUGGGGUUCUAUAAAUAGAACCCCAACCCUCACUUUAAAAAAAAAAAAAGUUUGAACAUCCAUAGCUUUAACUUUGAGUGAACAAAACUCAAAAUUUUGAGCUUUAGUUAAAAAAAAAAUUAAAGACUUAACUGCUAAGUGGAGUCUUCUAGUCCAAAUAUUUAUUUACUUUUCCUCUUGUGUGGUGGAGUGCGAGAAUUGGAAGCACAAAGGCUCCAAAUCCAUUCUUGUUCGCGGCUGCGCAAACAAAAGGGAUCCAUGUAUCAUUCAUCCUCGUGUCGUUUUAGACCACCGUCUUCUCCGGCGUGAUCUGACCGGCGUCAGUCGUCUUCUCUUUUCCGUUUCAGUAUAUCUUGACGCAUUCCAGCUGAAAUUGAUGCAAAGUUUCUCCGUAUGAGAUACGACGCAACCCUGAAUGCAUUUAUUGAUAACGAGAAACCACCAAUACCUGUCAAGGCUACCGUUGAUUAUGCUGCAGUGAUUUUAGUAGAUGUUGAGGAGUAGAUUUGUAGACAGAACAGUCUAUGUUUUAAGUUGCUUCUUUUUUUCUCCAACUUUUUUUUUAUGUAUAACAUCACUAUUGCGACAUUAUUUUUAUGAAGAUUUUAGAAGAAGUUUUAUGUAUUUUGGUAA
Molecule: long non-coding RNA, 1091 nt
Organism: Lycium barbarum (goji berry)
Lineage: Eukaryota; Viridiplantae; Streptophyta; Magnoliopsida; Solanales; Solanaceae
Exons: 3
Source: RefSeq, a predicted model, not a curated record